This 77-nucleotide transfer RNA is filed under the name Opitutaceae bacterium. RNAcentral describes it as "tRNA-OTHER". It matches the Rfam family "tRNA". From Rfam's summary of the family: Transfer RNA (tRNA) molecules are approximately 80 nucleotides in length. The record is from RNAcentral. Lineage: Bacteria; Pseudomonadati; Verrucomicrobiota; Opitutia; Opitutales; Opitutaceae.
GGCCUGUUAGCUCAGUGGUCCAGAGUAUUGGGGAGGUUCAGUCCCAAAGGUCACGGGUUCGAACCCCGUACGGGCCC